RNAcentral lists this ribosomal RNA (459 nucleotides) under Paramixogaster variegatus. RNAcentral describes it as "partial 16S ribosomal RNA". The record is from RNAcentral. Lineage: Eukaryota; Metazoa; Arthropoda; Insecta; Diptera; Syrphidae.
UGAACUCAGAUCACGUAAGAUUUAAAAAGUCGAACAGACUUAAAUUUUAAACUUNUACACCUAAAACUUUAUCUUAAUCCAACAUCGAGGUCGCAAUCUUUUUUAUCGAUAAGAACUCUUUAAAAAAAUUACGCUGUUAUCCCUAAAGUAACUUAAUUUUUUAAUCAUAAUUUAUGGAUCAAAAAUUCAUAAAUUAAUGUAUUUAUUAAUUAAAAGUUUAUUAAAUUUUAAUAUCACCCCAAUAAAAUACCAAUUUUUUAUACAAAUAAAUAUAUCUAUAUAAUUAAAUAAAAAAUUAAUAUAAAGAUUUAUAGGGUCUUCUCGUCUUUUAAAUAAAUUUUAGCUUUUUUACUAAAAAAUAAAAUUCUAAAUUUAUUUAUUUGAAACAGUUUUUAUUUCGUCCAACCAUUCAUUCUAGUUUUCAAUUAAAAAAAUAAUGAUUAUGCUACCUUUGCACAG